GACAAAGAAUGGAUUGAAACUCCGUCACCACGAAAUAGUUAAAAAGGAGUGUUUUGGUACCGAGGAAAACGUUUUUCAAUUUUCUUAUAUUUGGUUAGUUCAAAUAUUUGAAAACCUUUUUCUCGAGAAAAAUAAGUUACUUAAAAAUAAAGAAAAUGAUUUUUCUAAUGAAAGUAAGGAAAAUAAGUUUCAUAAGUGACAUUUCAAGUUCAUUGUCUCCUUCUCACCUACUCAAUGCCCCUACAGCCCUACCCUCACCUCUGGACUAUCC
This 271-nucleotide long non-coding RNA is filed under the name Solanum tuberosum (potato). Its description in RNAcentral is "long non-coding RNA (STUB_LNC003194)". The record is from RNAcentral. Lineage: Eukaryota; Viridiplantae; Streptophyta; Magnoliopsida; Solanales; Solanaceae.